This 75-nucleotide transfer RNA is filed under the name Candidatus Hydrogenedentota bacterium. Its description in RNAcentral is "tRNA-Glu". It matches the Rfam family "tRNA". From Rfam's summary of the family: Transfer RNA (tRNA) molecules are approximately 80 nucleotides in length. The record is from RNAcentral. Lineage: Bacteria; Pseudomonadati; Candidatus Hydrogenedentota.
GGCCCGCUCAUCUAGGGGUUAGGAUGCAAGAUUCUCAGUCUUGUCACAGGGGUUCGAUUCCCCUGCGGGCUGCCA